UUGGAGGGAUAUGUGUGAGUUUGCUUCUAACCUCAGGGGAAUGUUUUCAGCCAUUUUCAACCAUCUCUUGGUAGAGAAGAAUACCUUUGGAAACCCUGAGACACUGCCACAGAUGAGUGCUCCAAGAAAGGAAGAGCCUUCUGGAUUAUCUCCAAGGCACUAAGAGCCUUCUCAAAUGUGCCUUGCCUUUCACAGAAUUUCAGAAACGACUGAAGCAGAACCACAGGAUUAUUUGUAAUGGAGCCAAAUGACACACAAGAAACAAACUUCACCUCCUGGCCACAUCUAUCAAUUGUUCCCAGUCAGCGAACCAGAACUGGAGCAGAAGCAGUGUAAAAGGCUUUACCAGUCUAGGCAAAGAAGAAAUGUCCAUGCCAUGUACAGAAGUCGGAGGAUGUAGUCCUGGCAAAGGCAAUCUCCAGCUGACACACACGAAAAUUAGUCAUCUACCCGUAUGCCUAAUUAGAGAUAGAGGCCCAUGACUUUGGGUCUCCAGUGUUUCAGAGUAAAGUUGGAUGCACUAUGUUCU
Molecule: long non-coding RNA, 529 nt
Organism: Arvicola amphibius (Eurasian water vole)
Lineage: Eukaryota; Metazoa; Chordata; Mammalia; Rodentia; Cricetidae
Exons: 3
Source: RefSeq, a predicted model, not a curated record